This 615-nucleotide ribosomal RNA is filed under the name uncultured bacterium. RNAcentral describes it as "bacterial SSU rRNA". It matches the Rfam family "Bacterial small subunit ribosomal RNA", at positions 28 to 634 of the family's 1533-position model. The record is from RNAcentral.
AUUGACGCUGGCGGCAUGCCCUACACAUUCAAAGUCGAACGGUAACAGGUCUUCGGUUGCUGACGAGUGGCGAACGGGUGAGUAAUACAUCGGAACGUGCCCGAGAGUGGGGGAUAACGAAGCGAAAGCUUUGCUAAUACCGCAUACGAUCUCAGGAUGAAAGCAGGGGGACCGCAAGGCCUUGCGCUCACGGAGCGGCCGAUGGCAGAUUAGGUAGUUGGUGGGAUAAAGGCUUACCAAGCCGACGAUCUGUAGCUGGUCUGAGAGGACGACCAGCCACACUGGGACUGAGACACGGCCCAGACUCCUACGGGAGGCAUGCAGUGGGGAAUUUUGGACAAUGGGCGCAAGCCUGAUCCAGCCAUGCCGCGUGCAGGAUGAAGGCCUUCGGGUUGUAAACUGCUUUUGUACGGAACUGAAAAGACUCUGGUUAAUACCUGGGGUCCAUGACGGUACCGUAAGAAUAAGCACCGGCUAACUACGUGCCAGCAGCCGCGGUAAUACGUAGGGUGCGAGCGUUAAUCGGAAUUACUGGGCGUAAAGCGUGCGCAGGCGGUUAUGUAAGACACGAUGUGAAAAUCCCCGGGCUCAAACCUGGGAACUGCAUUUGUGACU